GUCUAGCCUGCCCAAUGAGGUAUUUAAUGGCCGCAGUAUUUUGACUGUGCAAAGGUAGCAUAAUAAUUAGUCUUUUAAUUGAAGGCUUGAAUGAAGGGUUGGAUGAAAUAUUAACUGUCUUAAUUUAAUUAUAUAGAAUUUUAUUUUUUAGUGAAAAAGCUAAAAUGUAUUUAAAAGACGAGAAGACCCUAUUAAUCUUUAUAUUUUAUAUAUAAUAGGAAGUUAGAUUAUUUAUUUUAUUAUAUUGUAAAUAUUUUAUUGGGGUGAUAUUAAAAUUUAAUUAAUUUUUAAUUUUUGUUAACAUAAAUUAAUGAAUUGUUGAUCUAUUGUGUAUAAUUAUAAGUUUAAGUUACUAUAGGGAUAACAGCGUAAUUUUUUUGGUAAGUUCAUAUUAAUAAAAAGGAUUGCGACCUCGAUGUUGGAUUAAGAUAAGGUUUAGGUGAAGAAGUUUAAAUNUU
Molecule: ribosomal RNA, 458 nt
Filed under: Termitophilomyia zimbraunsi
Lineage: Eukaryota; Metazoa; Arthropoda; Insecta; Diptera; Phoridae
Description: partial 16S ribosomal RNA
Rfam family: Archaeal large subunit ribosomal RNA (bases 1-164)
Source: RNAcentral